GGUAAAAUGGCCGAGAUAGGCGAUAAAUUGUAAAUUUAUUAACGAAGAGCUAACUUCUUUUACCA
RNAcentral lists this transfer RNA (65 nucleotides) under Hylastes attenuatus. Its description in RNAcentral is "tRNA-Tyr". The record is from RNAcentral. Lineage: Eukaryota; Metazoa; Arthropoda; Insecta; Coleoptera; Curculionidae.